RNAcentral lists this ribosomal RNA (498 nucleotides) under uncultured bacterium. RNAcentral describes it as "partial 16S ribosomal RNA". It matches the Rfam family "Bacterial small subunit ribosomal RNA", at positions 30 to 523 of the family's 1533-position model. The record is from RNAcentral.
AUUGAACGCUGGCGGCAUGCCUUACACAUGCAAGUCGAACGGUAACAGGUCUUCGGAUGCUGACGAGUGGCGAACGGGUGAGUAAUACAUCGGAACGUGCCUAGUAGUGGGGGAUAACUACUCGAAGGAGUGGCUAAUACCGCAUGAGAGCUACGGAUGAAAGCAGUGGAUGGCAAGACCUUGUGCUACUAGAGCGGCCGAUGGCAGAUUAGGUAGUUGGUGGGAUAAAAGCUUACCAAGCCGACGAUCUGUAGCUGGUCUGAGAGGACGAUCAGCCACACUGGGACUGAGACACGGCCCAGACUCCUACGGGAGGCAGCAGUGGGGAAUUUUGGACAAUGGGCGCAAGCCUGAUCCAGCAAUGCCGCGUGCAGGAUGAAGGCCUUCGGGUUGCAAACUGCUUUUGUACGGAACGAAAAGCCCUGGGUUAAUACCCUGGGGUAAUGACGGUACCGUAAGAAUAAGCACCGGCUAACUACGUGCCAGCCGCCGCAGUAA